This 226-nucleotide unclassified non-coding RNA is filed under the name Hevea brasiliensis (rubber tree). The record is from RNAcentral. Lineage: Eukaryota; Viridiplantae; Streptophyta; Magnoliopsida; Malpighiales; Euphorbiaceae.
CUCUCUCUCUCUCUCGCUGAGCACAACUCCAUAACCAUAAUUUCAGCUCAGGCCGUAAACAAGCGUCUCUCGUCUCUUCAUCCAGACUUCUAAUGACAAAUAAUGCCGAAAAUGAUGCUCUAGUAUUGGUUGAUAAUGCAUUUGGGAAGCUUCCUGAUCAUAUCCUGAUAGAAAUUUUCAUCAGAGUUCCCGUAUCAGAAUGGGCCCAAAUAUCAUGUGUUAAAAA